This 2142-nucleotide long non-coding RNA is filed under the name Equus caballus (horse). Its description in RNAcentral is "lncRNA (ENSECAG00000052967.1)". The record is from RNAcentral. Lineage: Eukaryota; Metazoa; Chordata; Mammalia; Perissodactyla; Equidae.
CCCCCGCCCGGCCCCGCGCGCCAGCACGCGCCGGAAUUUCCAAAGCCUGUGACUGGGCUCCGCGGGCCGCGGGGGCGGCGGAGGGCGCGCGGGCGCUGGGGCCGCCUCCGGCGGCUGGACCCGCGACCGCUCUGCUAUGCUCCCUGUCCCCGCGCUGGAGCACAGCGACCCAACUCCUUGCGAGCGUUUCCUGCGCACCUACUACGUGCAAGGCGCUGGCAGUCCAGGAGGAAUAGGCCUUCGUCCCUGUCCCCGGAAAUGGGCCUGGAACGAGAAGGCUGGAGCUGAAGAUGGAUUGGCUAGAAGGCAACAGCCGACGUACAGGGCAAACGCGUUAGAGGCCAGGUGCUAAGGAGGUUGUUAAAUCUGCCCGCGGGUAUGAAGGAAGGCUUCUAAGGGAGGUCGCCACGGGUGACCUUUCAGCUGUAUCAGAAGGAGCUGAUAUAACCGGAGGAGGUGAGGAGGAGGGUGUUCCUGCGGCGGGAACAGUGUGAGCAACGACGAGGAGGAGAGCACCUGACUUGUUGCAGGAACUGGGACUAGGCCACUUUGACUGAAGCGCAGAAUUUGGGAAGGGAGGUACUGUGAGAUGCAGUGGGCAACAAAGAUUGGUGCCUUCUAGGGCCCACGUGGAUGAAAAGCAAACUUAUUUUAUUAAUCAUGGCUUCUUGAGUCCGCGGAGCCUUUCCAGUGUUUAUGUGAAAUUUAUAUCCAUCUGCUGGGUGUUUUCUACUCUGGAGAGCUUAAGGACAUCUCAGCCCAGUGACUUUUCUUCUAUGAGCCUGCUUUCAGACAGUCCGUAAAAGUUUUAAAGAAGACAAGUCCCCCAGAGGUAAUCCUUGAGGGCUCCACUCUGAAACAGGAAGACUCCAUCUGGUAUCCUGGCACCAACAGUAGUCAGUAGACUGGGUACUGGCCCCAGUUCUGACACAGUAGUUGUUAGAUUCCAGGCAAUUGCUGACAUGAUACCUGUGGUGGACAUUGAGAUGCAUUGGCCAGAUGCCCUUCAAGGAAGGACUUGUUGCCCAGCCGUGGGGAGAGUGCUCAGCACACAGCUGUCAGCUGUCAUUUCCUUCGGGGUUUGCCUCAUCUGCAGACAGCCACCUUGCCCGAGGAGAGGCUCCUUUCCUGGGCGGCCCAAAUUCAAUGGCUGAGCAAGGCAAGGAUAGAAAGGCCUGGCUAUUUCAGCCCUGUGAAGGACAACUUCAAUGGACUAUUUCUGCUCAAGAGCUCCCAGUGGGGUUAGCUGAGGCCUUAUCAGCCUGCAUCUCAGAUCAGAUUCUCCCUCUGCCCAAUCCUGUUUUCUUUCCCUCCCACCCAUGGGUAUUGAUCCCAAGAGCUCUCCCUAAUAAUUAUCCUGAACACUAAAGUCUGUCACAGAAUCUGCUUCCUGGAAAACUCAAACUGCCACAGUUGGAGCCAGGAGAGUUCUGAGAAAGCAGGUGAUAAGAUGGGGUUUUGGAGCUGAUCACUCACCACCCAGCUGGUAGAAGGACCUUGUCACAGUCAUAGAUGGAGCACAGAUAGUCCUUGGCACAAGGUGGUGGUCCAGUUAUUAAAACUUUCACCAGUGGUGAAUUGGGACGGUAUACUCGUGAAAGAGAAUGUAUUAGCUGGUGCAACAUAUGGAGGAAGUAGUAACUAUAAGGACAAUGGGAUAGGAUGGUUAGUGCUUAGCUCUUCUGAAGCUCUAGGAAAAGAAAACAGAAAGCUGAGAAAGUGACUAGCAGGCAACUGAAAGCAAAGUGUGAACACCAGAGGGUCUCUUUGGUGGCAUGUGAAGAGGCUUCCAUAACCUGCAGCGGGAGGGCCGAGAAAGCUGAGGACCAGACCGAACUAUGCAGCCAAGCUCCAAAGAAGGCUGGACUGAUGGUAGGAGAUGCUGCUAUAAAACUGAGCUCUUUAUUAGCGAUGGAGAUAAUACAAUCCCAAAAUAAUUGAGCCAUAUGGCAUCACGCAACACUCAGAAACCAUGUGGACACAAUUAUGAUCAUGAGUGGCAAGAUCAAAGUGGCAAUCAGGGGCACCUGACCUGCAGAGCGGUGUUGACCCCAAAGGCACUUCCUAAUAAACAUCCUGGACACUAAACUCUGACUCAGAGUCUUCUUCCUGCAGAGCCUAAACUGUGAAAAUGCCCCAUCA